This 642-nucleotide ribosomal RNA is filed under the name uncultured archaeon. Its description in RNAcentral is "bacterial SSU rRNA". It matches the Rfam family "Archaeal small subunit ribosomal RNA", at positions 82 to 725 of the family's 1478-position model. The record is from RNAcentral.
CAGACGGCUCAGUAACACGUAGUCAACCUAACCUUUGGACGUGGAUAAUCUCGGGAAACUGAGGAUAAACCACGAUAGAUAACGGUGCCUGGAAUGGCCCAUUGUCCAAACAGUUUACUGCCAAGGGAUGGGACUGCGGCCUAUCAGCUUGUUGGUGAGGUAAUGGCCCACCAAGGCUAUAACAGGUACGGGCUCUGAGAGGAGAAGCCCGGAGAUGGGUACUGAGACACGGACCCAGGCCCUAUGGGGCGCAGCAGGCGAGAAACCUUAGCAAUGUGCGAAAGCACGACUGGGUCAGUCCGAGUGAUUUCUGAUAAAGGAAUCUUUUGCCCGUCCUAAAAGCACGGGCGAAUAAGGGGUGGGCAAGUCUGGUGUCAGCCGCCGCGGUAAUACCAGCACCUCGAGUGGUCAGGACGAUUAUUGGGCCUAAAGCAUCCGUAGCUGGUUUUGCAAGUCUCCGGUUAAAUCCACCUGCUUAACAGAUGGGCCGCUGGAGAUACUACAAGACUAGGGAGUGGGAGAGGCAGACGGUAUUCGGGGGGUAGGGGGUAAAAUCCUCUGAUCCUUUGAGGACCACCAGUGGCGAAGGCGGUCUGCCAGAACACGUUCGACAGUGAGGGAUGAAAGCUGGGGGAGCAAACC